CUUCAUUAAGGUGAAACCGCGAAUGGCUCAUUAAAUCACACCUAAUCUACUGGAAAGUUAAACAGUUACUUGGAUAACUGAGCUAAUUGUUGAGCUAAUACAUGCGAAAAUCCCCGACUCACGGAGGGGAGCUUUUAUUAGAUCAAAAUCCAGACGGCUUUCGGGCCUGGAACCGCUGGCGACUCUGAAUAACUUUGGGCUGAUCGUAUUGCCUAGUGCAGACGACGAAUUUCCUUCGAAGGUGUGCCCUAUCAACUGUCUACUGUGAUAUAGACGCUCACAGUGGUUUUGACGGGUAACGGGGAAUCAUGGUUCGAUUCCGGAGAGGGAGCCUUAAAAACGGCAUUACCACAUCCGAGGAAGGCAGGAGGCACGCUUAUUACCCAAUGACCGAAGGACGAGGUAYAGACGAAAAAUAACGAUACACAACUCCUCCGAGGCUCUGUAAUUGGAAUGAGUAUACUUUAAAACCGUUCCCGAGGAACAGUUGGAGGGCAAGGCUGGCGCCAGCCGCCGCGGUAAUUCCACCUCCAAUAGCGUAUAUUAAAGUUGUUGUGGUUAAAAAGCUCGUAGUUGGAUCUCGGCGGGCAGCAGUCGGUGCGAACGAUUCCGCUACUGGUCUUGUUUGCUCGUGUGUUGUGUCGGGUUUCAGGCGUGCGGGUGCUCUUCGCCGAGU
This 676-nucleotide ribosomal RNA is filed under the name Pseudodiaptomus serricaudatus. RNAcentral's name for it is "bacterial SSU rRNA". It matches the Rfam family "Eukaryotic small subunit ribosomal RNA", at positions 70 to 737 of the family's 1831-position model. The record is from RNAcentral. Lineage: Eukaryota; Metazoa; Arthropoda; Copepoda; Calanoida; Pseudodiaptomidae.